CCUACUGGUGGCAUCAUUAGGGCAUCUUGCUCAAUGGGGGAAACCCUGAAGCAUCAACGCCUCUUUUCUUCUUCCUUUUUUCUUCUUUUCCCCUCCUUUUGUUCUUUCCGUUUCUGCCUGUCUCUCCCGACUACUCACCGGCUACUUCCUUGCCAGCAGCCUCGGUACUACGGAGGGUGCCCGCGUUCCUCGGCCUCCCUGGGCGGACGGCGGGCGUCGGCGGGGGCCGAAGUCAGAUGUGAAAUCCUUGAGCUUAACUAAAGAACUGCAUUGGAAACUGUUACUCUGGCGUGUUGGAGAGGUAGGUGGAAUUCUUGGUGUAGGGGUAAAAUCCGUAGAGAUCAAGAGGAAUACUCAUUGCGAAGGCGACCCGCUGGAACAUUACUGACGCUGAUGCACGAAAGCGUGGGGAGCAAACAGGAUUAGAGACCCUGGUAGUC
Molecule: ribosomal RNA, 440 nt
Filed under: uncultured bacterium
Lineage: Bacteria
Description: partial 16S ribosomal RNA
Rfam family: Bacterial small subunit ribosomal RNA
Source: RNAcentral